This 548-nucleotide ribosomal RNA is filed under the name uncultured bacterium. Its description in RNAcentral is "bacterial SSU rRNA". It matches the Rfam family "Bacterial small subunit ribosomal RNA", at positions 355 to 895 of the family's 1533-position model. The record is from RNAcentral.
UAGGGAAUCUUCCACAAUGGGCGAAAGCCUGAUGGAGCAACGCCGCGUGUGUGAUGAAGGCUUUAGGGUCGUAAAGCACUGUUGUAUGGGAAGAAAUGCUAGAAUAGGGAAUGAUUCUAGUUCGACGGUACCAUACCAGAAAGGGACGGCUAAAUACGUGCCAGCAGCCGCGGUAAUACGUAUGUCCCGAGCGUUAUCCGGAUUUAUUGGGCGUAAAGCGAGCGCAGACGGUUGAUUAAGUCUGAUGUGAAAGCCCGGAGCUCAACUCCGGAAUGGCAUUGGAAACUGGUUAACUUGAGUGUUGUAGAGGUAAGUGGAACUCCAUGUGUAGCGGUGGAAUGCGUAGAUAUAUGGAAGAACACCAGUGGCGAAGGCGGCUUACUGGACAACAACUGACGUUGAGGCUCGAAAGUGUGGGUAGCAAACAGGAUUANAUACCCUGGUAGUCCACACCGUNNCGAUGAAUACUAGGUGUUAGGAGGUUUCCGCCUCUUAGUGCCGAANCUAACGCAUUAAGUAUUCCGCCUGGGGAGUACNACCGCANNNUG